UGGAUCCAGACUUUGAUCCUGGCUCGGGACGAACGCUGGCGGCGUGCUUAACACAUGCAGGUCGAACGAGAAUCUGUGGAAAGAGGAUUCGUCCAAUUGAAGCAGAGGACAGUGGCGGACGGGUGAGUAACGCGUGAGGAACCUGCCUUUCAGAGGGGGACAACAGUUGGAAACGACUGCUAAUACCGCAUGACACAUCGGAGUCGCAUGGCUCUGAUGUCAAAGAUUUAUCGCUGAAAGAUGGCCUCGCGUCUGAUUAGCUAGUUGGUGAGGUAACGGCCCACCAAGGCGACGAUCAGUAGCCGGACUGAGAGGUUGAACGGCCACAUUGGGACUGAGAUACGGCCCAGACUCCUACGGGAGGCAGCAGUGGGGAAUAUUGGGCAAUGGGCGCAAGCCUGACCCAGCAACGCCGCGUGAAGGAAGAAGGCUUUCGGGUUGUAAACUUCUUUUGUCAGGGACGAGUAGAAGACGGUACCUGACGAAUAAGCCACGGCUAACUACGUGCCAGCAGCCGCGGUAAUACGUAGGUGGCAAGCGUUGUCCGGAUUUACUGGGUGUAAAGGGCGUGUAGCCGGGAGGGCAAGUCAGAUGUGAAAUCCACGGGCUCAACUCGUGAACUGCAUUUGAAACUACUCUUCUUGAGUAUCGGAGAGGCAAUCGGAAUUCCUAGUGUAGCGGUGAAAUGCGUAGAUAUUAGGAGGAACACCAGUGGCGAAGGCGGAUUGCUGGACGACAACUGACGGUGAGGCGCGAAAGCGUGGGGAGCAAACAGGAUUAGAUACCCUGGUAGUCCACGCUGUAAACGAUGAAUACUAGGUGUGCGGGGACUGACCCCCUGCGUGCCGCAGCUAACGCAAUAAGUAUUCCACCUGGGGAGUACGAUCGCAAGGUUGCAACUCAAAGGAAUUGACGGA
RNAcentral lists this ribosomal RNA (917 nucleotides) under uncultured Bacillota bacterium. Its description in RNAcentral is "bacterial SSU rRNA". It matches the Rfam family "Bacterial small subunit ribosomal RNA", at positions 1 to 917 of the family's 1533-position model. Lineage: Bacteria; Bacillati; Bacillota. The record is from RNAcentral.